CACGUAAUUAGCCGGACCUUAUUCGUAUAGUACUGUCAUUUUCUUCCUAUACAAAAGAUUUUUACAAUCCGAAGACUUUCUAAAUCACGCGGCGUCGCUGCAUCAGGGUUUCCCCCCAUUGUGCAAAAUUCCCCACUGCUGCCUCCCGUAGGAGUUUGGGCCGUGUCUCAGUCCCAAUGUGGCCGUACACUCUCUCAAGCCGGCUACUGAUCGUUGCCUUGGUGAGCUUUUAUCUCACCAACUAGCUAAUCAGACGCAAGUCCAUCUUACACCGAUAAAUCUUUGGUAAAGCUACCAUGCGGUUUUCUUUACUUCAUAGGGUAUUAUUCGUCGUUUCCAACGGCUAUCCCCUUGUGCAAGGCAGGUUACUCACGUGUUACUCACCCGUCCGCCACUAAUCUACUUAGUCAUCAUCCCGAAGGAAUCUGUUAAAGCUUCAUCGUUCGACUUGCAUGUGUUAUGCACGCCGCCAGCGUUAAUCCUCGAGCCAGGAUCAACUC
RNAcentral lists this ribosomal RNA (500 nucleotides) under uncultured Anaerococcus sp. RNAcentral describes it as "partial 16S ribosomal RNA". The record is from RNAcentral. Lineage: Bacteria; Bacillati; Bacillota; Tissierellia; Tissierellales; Peptoniphilaceae.